RNAcentral lists this ribosomal RNA (465 nucleotides) under Vreelandella stevensii. Its description in RNAcentral is "partial 16S ribosomal RNA". It matches the Rfam family "Bacterial small subunit ribosomal RNA", at positions 338 to 795 of the family's 1533-position model. The record is from RNAcentral. Lineage: Bacteria; Pseudomonadati; Pseudomonadota; Gammaproteobacteria; Oceanospirillales; Halomonadaceae.
CCUACGGGUGGCUGCAGUGGGGAAUAUUGGACAAUGGGGGCAACCCUGAUCCAGCCAUGCCGCGUGUGUGAAGAAGGCCCUCGGGUUGUAAAGCACUUUCAGUGAGGAAGAACGCCUGGUGGUUAAUACCCAUCAGGAAAGACAUCACUCACAGAAGAAGCACCGGCUAACUCCGUGCCAGCAGCCGCGGUAAUACGGAGGGUGCGAGCGUUAAUCGGAAUUACUGGGAGUAAAGCGCGCGUAGGUGGCUUGAUAAGCCGGUUGUGAAAGCCCCGGGCUCAACCGGGGAACGGCAUCCGGAACUGUCAAGCUAGAGUGCAGGAGAGGAAGGUAGAAUUCCCGGUGUAGCGGUGAAAGGCGUAGAGAUCGGGAGGAAUACCAGUGGCGAAGGCGGCCUUCUGGACUGACACUGACACUGAGGUGCGAAAGCGUGGGUAGCAAACAGGAUUAGAUACCCCGGUAGUC